CACUUGGGACCUCGUCCAAAUGUACCAACAAGUCCAUAAACAUACUACAGACCUACUCAAAGUCUCGGAACAUGUAAAAUAAUAUCGAAACCAAGAAUUGCACCUCAGCAUCAAAUUAAUCAACUUUGGAACUUCAAACUUCUUCCAACUAACUCCGAACCAUAUUAGACAACUCGGAGUGACGCCAAAUUUUAUGCACAAGUCACAAAUCACAAAUCACAAAUCACAAUAUGAACCUAAUCCAAGGCUCGGAUCCCCAACCAGAUAUAGAAAACACCAAAGUAUACUUCAAAUAACUUAGAAACUCUAAAACCUUCGAGACACCAACUUUCAAUAAUAAGCGCCGAAACGCUCCUGGUCCACCCAAAAUUCAAUCCAAACAUAUGCCCAAAUUCAAAAGCAUCCUACAAAUUUCGAUAUCGAGGUCGUUUACUCGAAGUGUUGACCU
This 448-nucleotide long non-coding RNA is filed under the name Nicotiana benthamiana. RNAcentral's name for it is "long non-coding RNA (NBEN_LNC036799)". Lineage: Eukaryota; Viridiplantae; Streptophyta; Magnoliopsida; Solanales; Solanaceae. The record is from RNAcentral.